This 335-nucleotide long non-coding RNA is filed under the name Mustela putorius furo (domestic ferret). RNAcentral's name for it is "lncRNA (ENSMPUG00000028268.1)". Lineage: Eukaryota; Metazoa; Chordata; Mammalia; Carnivora; Mustelidae. The record is from RNAcentral.
UCACCUUUUUUUUUUUUUUUUUUUUUAAAGGACAAGAUUCAUGCUGCAAGUGCCCAAGAAGAGGCUCAUUUUCUUUCUGCAGCAGUUGUGCAGAAUUGAUCUCAACAUUCGUCUCCUCCCUGAGAAAGUCCUCUUUCCCAGGUUCCAGAAGGAGAGCUUUUGGGGUGAGUGAUCGGACAGCUGAGUGGCUUGCUCAAGUGAAGAAUGUGGUUCCUAGGGAGCUAAGAACGAACUCCAGGACCAACGCUUUACCCUCAACCCAGCUCUGUCGCUUAACCAGCUCUGUGACCUUGGAAGACUGUUUGGAUAUCUCGAAGUAACAACCCCCGGGUGCA